AAGAAACAUGCUUGGAUAGGCGUCCUUGUCGACCUCGCAGUCUCCAACCCAUCCUUAGGUAUUGCAGCUCCUUCCAAUCCAGUUUACUCCUUUUUGACAAUUUUCUUACUUGAGCCUUGGAGAUAUGCACUGAAUCGACUAACGUUUGCUCUGAGAAUUUCCUUUUGUAGAGAGGAUGUCUUGCGGAAUGUAGUUUUUAGUGAGAAUAGUAGUCAUAGUGGUUUAGGAUAGUUUUUCAUGUGUUGGCUAAUUGGUUAUUGGUUGUAAUUGUCAGUUUCUCUUCACAUAUGAACCAUGCAUACUUGCUGGUGGGUGAUCCAAAAAUGAUCUCAACCAAUAAAACUUUUAGCGAGUAUGUAAGAAUUGGAAUCCUGGAUAUGGAUAGCAGACUACUUUUCAUGGUACCCAGUUUCUUUAGUCCUGUACAUUUAGCAAAAACAAUAAAUUCCUUUCGAUGUUUUGGAUUUUACCAUGUGAGUGCCUCUGGAGAGAUUGUUUAAUUGCUUUCUUAUGCUUCCACCUAUUUUCUUCCAGAACGAUGAUGUGCUUUCUGCUAAAAUUUUACACUAUGGUGUUGAUAAGCAUGAAUUAUUUGCUGUCCUCACAUACAGUUAUAAGCCUUAUCAACUUGAUCAUAGUGUUCUCUUUUUAUUUGUUAGCGGCAUGAUUGAAGGGCGAGACUACCAGCUGGUGAAGGAGAGGAUAUGUAUUCGGCGUGUCCUGAAGAGGUAGUCCACGAACCGGCAAUGGAGGAAAUAAGGUAGAGAUGGCAAUAGCAGCAAGUACGUCAAGCGCUAGGGAUGUGGAUAUGGUGUGGCAUAAAGAGGUAGUCCACAAACCUCUGCUAGG
RNAcentral lists this long non-coding RNA (849 nucleotides) under Triticum aestivum (bread wheat). Its description in RNAcentral is "long non-coding RNA (TAES_LNC022674)". The record is from RNAcentral. Lineage: Eukaryota; Viridiplantae; Streptophyta; Magnoliopsida; Poales; Poaceae.